This 4658-nucleotide long non-coding RNA is filed under the name Androctonus crassicauda. The record is from RNAcentral. Lineage: Eukaryota; Metazoa; Arthropoda; Arachnida; Scorpiones; Buthidae.
CUCUCCGUUCUCCUAGGACAAACACGAUGGGGCUAUCGAAAUCGUCGACACCAUCAGGUGAGUCUUUUCGUCUCUCUCUUAUCUAAUUUUUAAUACGCGCGCACACUUUUAAUUAGCCCUGGGCUAGGAUGCACAGUUCGCGCCCCACUGCUCCAGCUCCAGAAACACACUUGUCUGGAUCGAUUCUAAUGUUAGUUUGGAAGCCAUGGUCAGCUGGUUCAAGAUGGAUAUUUAAUCCACUUGGCUCUUCUCGCUUUGUAAUUAAAAAAAAUCCCGAUAAGCGGAAAAAAACAUUCGGGCGCUUCACGUUAUUUAUAUACAAUGUUCUGCUAAAAAAAAUUGGGUUUUAAUUUAUAAAUUCAUAUGAUGGAGAGAUCGUUCUAAAUGCCAUUGAUUAAUCUAUAUUUAAAUAGAAAGUUUUUGAUUUUCAUGUGCAACUUCCCCUUCCUGUCUUUUGCUAUUGUUUGAUAUUUGUUACGUCAAAGAUGGCGGUGCAGUGACGUCAUAUGACGUAACGACGGAACAUCAAGUUUACUUUGCGUGAUUUGGUUUGAAAAACUCUUUCUUCUGAAUGGAUUUGCAUCUUGUAUAUAUUUUUUAUUUUAUUUUGUUAAAUACAAAGUUUGAUUUUUUUUCUCAUUUCCGAAGAUUAAGAUAUUAAGCAGCCUGUUCGGUCAACGAUCUAUUAAAAAAAUGUGUAGGAAAUUGGUUCGAUUUUAAUGAAAAUUAAAAUGUCAGUAGGAGAAGCUGAAGAUGAUGACAUUUGCCAAGUUUUGUUGCACCGCUGCUGGCUGUACAUUAGCCACUGCCAUUCCCCCUAUACUUAAAAAUGGCCGGAUUUUGAUGAAAGUGGAAGCAUGGUUAAGGAUAGAAAAACAGUUUUCUUUGCCAAUUUUCACUAAAGUGUCGACAUCGAUAAUAUGUGUUAAAGGUCAUUUUUGUUUGGCGCUUUUUUUAAACCAAUAUCUCCUUUUUUAGAAUUUUAUUCAAGCAUUUAAGAUUUUUAAAGUUGGAGUGCCAAUCACGUAUAUCGAUUUUUUCGUUUGAUCUCAUAGAAAAUUAAAUUGGAAAAUCCGGAUUACACAAAUACCCGAAGAAUUUUAAAAACGAAGGGGAAAAAAAUUGUAUAGGUUAAUGGAACAAGUCAUGUCAAGGACUGGGAAUUUGUGGGAUUUUCCGACAUUUUAUAGGAAAGGAUGCAUAUUUUUUAUUUUUGUCAGCUGUUUCCGUAAACGUUUGUUUGGGUUUUUGCCCGAUACGUUAUUUAUAUAUUUACUUACCCAUUAGACCGCUUCUAUAUAUAAGCAAGUGUUUAUUUACUGGCGAAAAAAAUCAGGGACGUUCUUUACGAAGAUUCACCUGGUCGUUUCAGUUUUCACUUCCAGCUAAUCACUUGCUUACAUAUUUUAACAAAAGAGGACUCUUGGUAGAGGUUUUAAAUUUUUAACGAAGGAUGUUUUUGAGGCAUCGUUCGCGAAUCACCAAUCACCGUUGACAUUGGAGAAUUGUGAAUGAAGGACUUUCCCCUUCCAAGGUCUCUGAAAGAAUCCUGCAUGCCCUACCAUAUAGAAGCUAUAAACCUGCUUUGUUAAAGAAUAUUUUGUAACUCCUUUCGCUUCUUCAAAUCAUCAUUUUGGUCUUAUAACAAUAUUCCAAACGUGAAUUUUGAUAUACAUCUAUGCAUUUUUGAAACGGAUCUGAGGAAUAAAAUAAGAAUGGGGCCAAGGUUCAUACUUAACGUAACUUUUUUCUACUAUAUUUUUUUAAAGACUGUAACUAAAUUUAAUUUAAUCUCAAUUAAUCAUCCUUUCGACUCGUGCCGUCGGAAAAAAAAAAAUAAAAAAUUUCCGUGUUAAAUUAUGUAAGACGGAUGCUUUUUGCGGAUGUUAUAAGUCGGAAAAAAAACUGUUUCGAAAAAGCGUUAAAAUUCGCUUAUUAAAAUUAAACGAUUGUUUAACUACUCUCGUAUAUAUUAUUAUUAAUAUAAUUGUUAUUUAACAGUUUGGAAACAGUGAGGGUGGUCAACUGCCGUCAUCUAAACAACUCAUAAAUGUUCUUAGCGGAAGAGUAAAUAUCGUUUAUACUAAAUAUAAUCAUGCAGGAAGUGCUGUCGAUCACGUGUAGAAUUUGUCUUCGCUUACAUCUCUGGCGCCAGUACGCAUCAACGACUCAACACAAAUCAAUACCAAAUACCAUACACUGUACUAAACGCAAAGUGGAUAUUUAAAACCGAGUUUUGAUUAUAAAUUUCUCUUUGACUGUCGGUUGAACCGAAUGAUUCGGUUGGCGGGAAAAAAAAUAACUUGGCUUGUUCUUUCUUUACUGUUACAUGACAUGAGUCAGCAUAUUCGUUUUAUUUCGAGCGAUGCAACGAUUCUGAGUAAGUAAUCUCCAAAUGACGUCCGGAAUAUUCAUCUCGUCGGGUUCGAUAGCUAAUGACGUCAUAGUAGUAGAGAAAGGUCUGACGUCUGCGAUGACGUUGCGCAGGUUUCCAGCUGAUUCCACCACCGGUGGCAAUAAAUGUCGGAGUUUAAAUGCGUAAAUGUGUGUUUUGCUUGCUUCUAUAAAUAAACCAUUUAUUAUUUCGAUAAUGCGACUUUUCGAAUUUUUAUGGUACGUAAGUGAUGUCGAACGGUGAUGACGCCAUUCGGGAAUUCCGGUUAUUUUUAAUUUUUUCUUUAUUCUUAUUCGAAAGUUAAAAAAAUCUGAACAUUAUGUUCCGAUCCGAAUCGAAAUCUAGAAUGCGGAUCAUGCGAUUAAAUGGCGGAUAUUGUAAUUAAACGGUUGGCAUUCGACUUUUCGCUUCUGUACGCAUCGCUAAUUCGUAUAAUGUGAUGUCACGUGUACAGGCCACUGACGGGAAGAAUUUUUGAAUAUAUUCUUCAGCCAGCAGUUAUUAAAAGACCACAAAUCAUGUUCUUCCCGGUCGAUUCCGGGUUCGAAUUCACAAAAUUUUAUGAACUAAAUUUUGACGAACAAACGCUUAUCAGAUCAUUAAUGCAUAAUAAAGAAAAUAUUACGUCAAGAUUAUAGAUUAAUGUAUUCGAAAUCCAUUUUGAAGGCUUUCUAUGUACCGUAAUAUGUCAGUUUGUCGUAAUAUUGGAAAUCGAUGGCUGCCAAGUUUCAUACACCCUUUACCAUAUACUCAACAGUUUUCAGUUUCCGGAAGAUUAAACUAACAAUAUUUAAUUUUUCUCCCGCUUUUAUUGAAUUUUAAAUAUACCAUAUAAACUGUAUAUAUUUUACAGUUACCAUUUUCAGUUUUAAAACGCAAAAAAUAAUAAUUUACUCCGAGAGAAUUUUUUAAUUUCUCCUAUCUCUUCCUGGUGUCAUUGAACAUUGGAUGAGUCCCAUCCGUAGAAUUAUUUAUUGUUAAACUACCACACCCCUUCGGAAGAUUAAUCAAUAAUGUUCGAAAAACGACGUCACGAAAGUCUACGCGAAAGUUUUUUUUCUAUUACGAGUUUUUUUUAUAGCGGUUGGCUUUAUAACAGGGUUAUAUUGUACAAUCUUUAAAAGUAGUGUAUCGAAGGUCAUUUGACUGCGCGGAAGUGCUGCUGAUAAGGUUGACUGUAUAUACAAUAAAUCACGUGUGAGAGUCUAUAGAUGAUGAUUUUGAAUUAAAAAAAAUAUAUUAUGGAAAACUCUUAUGGAAACUAGAAUGGUGUUUAAUUUUCGAAUAAUAUAUUUUAUUAUUUAAGCGUGAAUUUUGUUUUAAUUAGCAUACAGGAAACAUUUAACACAUACUUCCAGGUGGAUUUGAUUAAAUAUAUCAAUGUACGUUAUGCUGUUCAAGAAUUGAAGUCUGUUUUAUAUUUGCAGUUAAGCUACUAAUCAUAAACUGGUUCAUGGCAAUAAACGUGUACAGAUGUGUUGUUAGUAAUGUGCAAGCUGAAUUGGAUUAUUGAUAAUUAUCAAAUUGACUGAAACGCUAAAUAAAAAAUGCGACGAUAUUUCGGUCAGGCUGGUGAAUGUUUUAAAUGUAACAGCGCUGUCUAAAAUAAUCCUUGACGAUGUUCUGCGACUUUGGCGUAUGUACACAGACCCCUCCUGCCAAACGCUGACUCUACACCGACUGGAGGAAUGGACCGUCUCACGUUGCCUAGGGUGACGCAUCCUUGCUCACAUGGAUACUGUAGUCUUUGCACUUAAACGAUUGAGAUUCUGUCUAGAAUAAUGUAAUAAUUCUACAAAACUCCAAACGAUUAAAAUUAAUCCGUCGUAAUUUAUAUAGAAAAAACGUUUUAAACGAUUUUACGAUCGAACGACACCAACAAUUCGUUACCUAUAUAAGGAGUACUCGCCGUAAUAGAAAGGCAGAUGUCCCAAAAUAAUUAUAUAACUAAAAUUAGUUCCUUUUUAUAUUUAUUGUCUAAUUUAAAUUUCCAACGCCGUACAACAUCUGCCGAAUGAAUACUCUAAAUCCUCCUAUCUUCCUACGAGGAAAGAAAGAAAAAAAAAUUCUUACAGAGAGAACAGCCGCUAUCUUUCUAUAAGAAUUUUUACUACGUCGUUUUUAUCGGGAUAAUCAACAAAUAAAUGAUUUGAUUAAAUAUAGUUUCGUUUUCGCGAUUUUUCAGCUUUUUAUUUGAUCACAUAAUCGAAAGAUUUAAUGUUAGGUGAAAAUAUGUAUGUCUGUUUAACCGAAAAAUCAGUUU